RNAcentral lists this non-coding RNA (73 nucleotides) under uncultured Enterocloster sp. RNAcentral describes it as "Glycine riboswitch". It matches the Rfam family "Glycine riboswitch aptamer", at positions 9 to 86 of the family's 94-position model. From Rfam's summary of the family: This family represents the bacterial glycine riboswitch. Glycine riboswitches usually consist of two metabolite-binding aptamers domains with similar structures in tandem. The aptamers cooperatively bind glycine to regulate the expression of downstream genes. Lineage: Bacteria; Bacillati; Bacillota; Clostridia; Lachnospirales; Lachnospiraceae. The record is from RNAcentral.
GGAUUCGGGAGAGACCGUGAACAGACUGCGGCGCCGAAGGGGAAGCGAAUAACUCUCAGGCAAAAGGACCGGA